RNAcentral lists this ribosomal RNA (716 nucleotides) under Puccinia consimilis. Its description in RNAcentral is "eukaryotic LSU rRNA". The stretch from base 213 to 366 matches the Rfam family "5.8S ribosomal RNA". Lineage: Eukaryota; Fungi; Basidiomycota; Pucciniomycetes; Pucciniales; Pucciniaceae. The record is from RNAcentral.
UUAAAAGAACUAGAGUGCACUUAAUUGUGGCUCGAACCCUUUUAAAUACCACCCAAAUUUUUAAGACUUGGUUGCAUGAUUUGAGAGAAUCAUUGCAAUUGAGUAAAAGUAACUUCUUUAUUGAAUGUUACAUUACCCCCUCUUUUCUUUUUACUCUUUUUUCCAAAAUACACAAGUUUAAAUGAAUGUAAAACCCCCUUUAAUUAUAAAAUAACUUUUAACAAUGGAUCUCUAGGCUCUCACAUCGAUGAAGAACACAGUGAAAUGUGAUAAGUAAUGUGAAUUGCAGAAUUCAGUGAAUCAUCGAAUCUUUGAACGCACCUUGCACCUUUUGGUAUUCCAAAAGGUACACCUGUUUGAGUGUCAUGAAAACCUCUCAUAAAAAUAAUUUGUUUUAUUUUUGUGGAUGUUGAGUGUUGCUGUGAACCACAGCUCACUUGAAAUAUAUAAGUCAUUUUUGAGAUAAAGUUGGAUUGACUUGGUGUAAUAAUAUUACCAYYACAUCAAGGAAAGUAGCAAUACUUGCCAUCUUUAUUUUAGUUUCUUGACUCCUAAAAACUAUAAUGAUCAUUUUUUAAGACCUCAAAUCAGGUGGGACUACCCGCUGAACUUAAGCAUAUCAAUAAGCGGAGGAAAAGAAACUAACAAGGAUUCCCCUAGUAACGGCGAGUGAAGAGGGAAAAGCCCAAAUUUGUAAUCUGGCUCUUUUAGAGUCU